Molecule: long non-coding RNA, 1474 nt
Organism: Olea europaea var. sylvestris
Lineage: Eukaryota; Viridiplantae; Streptophyta; Magnoliopsida; Lamiales; Oleaceae
Exons: 2
Source: RefSeq, a predicted model, not a curated record
GGUGCGAACGGUGGUUUUGUAUUUUAAGAGGAGGAUCAUCUUUGAGUUUUUGGCAUAGGCUGUUCAGUAGGAUUUCUUUCAACUGCGGCAUUUUGACCAACAAUAUAUUGUUGAAUUUUUUAUCUGUGCAUUGGCCGUUUGAGUUUUGUCUAAACACAAAUUAUGUGUUAGACCGAGUUCUUCUAGCAGAGCUCACUCUGUGGGUCGACAUACUUUUUGAAUUUCUUUUGAAAAUUCUUCUUGGGUGUGUGAGUUCUCUGGAGUGUUCUUGUAUUGAUGUUGGAGUAGUUCUUGAUUAUUUUUGUACUAUUUGUUGUUCUUGGUCUCUUGUCGUUGCUAAUUUUCGUAGAUAGUUGCUCUGGUUUGAAUUUCUUCUUCUUGGGCACAAGUAUUGUCACCGCUGUUAGUUCAUAAUUGCAAAUUGAUGCUUUUACCUACAUCAAUUUGAGGGGGAUGUGAAUGAGAUUGAAUAAGAUUACGGAGAUCAUCGAAGAUUAUAGUUAUAUUAUAAUUAUAAUUGUACCAUAUAUAGAUAAAUUGUUUUUGCUAUAAUUAGAUUGAUUUGGUUCUAUAUAUUAAGAGAAUCUCUCGUAGAGAGACUAAGAGAGGCAUCGAGUCUUAUUAAGUAUAUUUGCCAAGUUUUAUAUUCCAUUAUACAAUUCUUCAUGCAGCUCGAUGACAAAGAUUAGCUCUCCCAAGAGCAUGUUUGUCUAAGCUUUAAAAAAAAAAUGUUUACUUUUCAUUAACAUUUUAUCGCAAACAUUUUUGGAUAACCUACUUUUUUGAAAGUCUCUAACAUAACUGCCAAAAUAAGUAACCUACUUGUUUCAAACUUUCACUAAUGAAAGAAAUUAUUUAUUUUAAAACUUAUUUACUUAUAAGUAAACUUUGCCAGAUGUGCUCUUAGUACACGGAAUGAUUGAACCAAAUUUUGUUGUAGGUGAUGCAAUGGAUGGAGGAGGCAGGCGUUCGACCGUCAACUCAAAUGUACCAGAAUAUCCUUUCGUUUGCUCAAAUACGUAGUGGAACUGAACAUGGUGCUGUCAUAAAAGAACGAAUAGCAUACUUGAAAAGGAAAUACGAUUAUCCAAUUUCAACAAGCAAAGAUGACAUGAUGACACAACAGGAAGAGAGUAAUAUUCCAGGAAGGUGAAAUUUUUUCCUUCGUAUAUGGCAAGCUGAUAUUGAUGACAUGACAGGUAAAAGCAUCGAUUUUUCUUGAAAAUCUAUAUGGAUGUCGAGACAGGCUAUGGGAUUGUGAGCCCGAUCUCUGUUUUUUGCCUCCGGAAAUGGAGCUGGAUCCGAGUGUUAAUCCAUUUUGAAGUACAAGUACACUGAUUUUGUAUCCGUUUCACUGUCCAAUUCUUGUAUACGAGAAUUGUGUAUAUAAGGCAUGUCAUGAGAUAAAAAUGUGUUACAUUAAUAAGUACUUAUAGUAACCAAAAAUAGAAUGUUCAAAAAUAAUUUUGAUUUU